This 23-nucleotide non-coding RNA is filed under the name Mus musculus (house mouse). The record is from RNAcentral. Lineage: Eukaryota; Metazoa; Chordata; Mammalia; Rodentia; Muridae.
UAAGAGUGAGAGGCCUGGGUCAG